This is an unclassified non-coding RNA of Gorilla gorilla gorilla (western lowland gorilla), 300 nucleotides long. It matches the Rfam family "Metazoan signal recognition particle RNA". Rfam says of the family: The signal recognition particle (SRP) is a universally conserved ribonucleoprotein. NCBI's taxonomy places the organism in Eukaryota, Metazoa, Chordata, Mammalia, Primates, Hominidae. The record is from Ensembl.
GCCGGGCGCGGUGGCGCGUGCCUGUAGUCCCAGCUACCCGGGAGGCUGAGGUGGGAGGAUCGCUUGAGCCCAGGAGUUCUGGGCUGUAGUGCGCUAUGCCGAUCGGGUGUCCGCACUAAGUUCGGCAUCAAUAUGGUGACCUCCCGGGAGCGGGGGACCACCAGGUUGCCUAAGGAGGGGUGAACCGGCCCAGGUCGGAAACGGAGCAGGUCAAAACUCCCGUGCUGAUCAGUAGUGGGAUCGCGCCUGUGAAUAGCCACUGCACUCCAGCCUGAGCAACAUAGCGAGACCCCGUCUCUU